GUUCAACCCCGGGGUUGAAAUUUCAGCCCCGGGGUUGAAAUUUCAGCCAAGCAGGGUUGAAAUUUCAACCCCGGGGUUGAAC
Non-coding RNA from Paramuricea clavata, 82 nucleotides. NCBI's taxonomy places the organism in Eukaryota, Metazoa, Cnidaria, Anthozoa, Malacalcyonacea, Plexauridae. The record is from the annotation of a GenBank genome assembly.